GAUGAACGCUGGCGGCGUGCCUAAUACAUGCAAGUCGAGCGAACAGACGAGGAGCUUGCUCCUCUGACGUUAGCGGCGGACGGGUGAGUAACACGUGGAUAACCUACCUAUAAGACUGGGAUAACUUCGGGAAACCGGAGCUAAUACCGGAUAAUAUAUUGAACCGCAUGGUUCAAUAGUGAAAGACGGUUUUGCUGUCACUUAUAGAUGGAUCCGCGCCGCAUUAGCUAGUUGGUAAGGUAACGGCUUACCAAGGCAACGAUGCGUAGCCGACCUGAGAGGGUGAUCGGCCACACUGGAACUGAGACACGGUCCAGAGUCCUACGGGAGGCAGCAGUAGGGAAUCUUCCGCAAUGGGCGAAAGCCUGACGGAGCAACGCCGCGUGAGUGAUGAAGGUCUUCGGAUCGUAAAACUCUGUUAUUAGGGAAGAACAAAUGUGUAAGUAACUAUGCACGUCUUGACGGUACCUAAUCAGAAAGCCACGGCUAACUACGUG
Molecule: ribosomal RNA, 497 nt
Filed under: uncultured bacterium
Lineage: Bacteria
Description: partial 16S ribosomal RNA
Rfam family: Bacterial small subunit ribosomal RNA
Source: RNAcentral